CCUUGCUGCAAGACACCUCAGAAAUACAGAGAAGGACAAAUAGUUACUGACUCACGGACACCAGAGGAUUUUCUGAAAAACUACUGGAAUAAGAGACAAAAGUGCACUGCCAUUAUGAACAAGGAGAAGUGGAUAAUGAGCUACAGCACACAUUUGGAAGAAAUUUGGAAAACUCUGCUGUAAGUGGUACAGAAAGAAAAAGAAGAUACAGAAUGCUG
This 218-nucleotide long non-coding RNA is filed under the name Cyanistes caeruleus (blue tit). RNAcentral describes it as "lncRNA (ENSCCEG00000020706.1)". Lineage: Eukaryota; Metazoa; Chordata; Aves; Passeriformes; Paridae. The record is from RNAcentral.